Molecule: non-coding RNA, 323 nt
Organism: Camelina sativa (false flax)
Lineage: Eukaryota; Viridiplantae; Streptophyta; Magnoliopsida; Brassicales; Brassicaceae
Source: RefSeq, a predicted model, not a curated record
GUGCAUCUAAGUUAAAAUCCUGCAUAAUGAAUAAUUUAAUGUCAGAUCUGUCCAGACAAAAUAAGAAAGAUGGAACUAAUGAGAAAAGCAAAGGUAACUCAUUCACUUUCUGUCUCACAGAGCACAGCUCCACCUCAUCCUAUGAGCUUUGUUGGAAAGACUCCAAUGGUUCCACUAAUACUAAUAUUUCAGAAAACUCAGAAACUACUAUGGACAUUCUAUCUAUACUUCAUUUUAGCGCAAAAAAAAAGAGGGUAUUGUUCUUUUCUGGACAAUCUAAGCAUUCUUUCACAAGCAAGAAGCAACAGCAUAAAAUAAUUACA